AGAGUUUGAUCAUGGCUCAGGAUGAACGCUAGCGGCAGGCUUAACACAUGCAAGUCGAGGGGCAGCAUUCCAGCAAUGGAGAUGGCGACCGGCAAACGGGUGCGGAACACGUACGCCAUACCUUUUACUGGGGCAUAGCCUUCUGAAAAGAAGAUUAACACCCCAUAAUAUAAUAGAGUGGCAUCACUCAUUAUUAAAAAUUUAUUGGUAAGAGAUUGGCGUGCGUCCUAUUAGCUAGUUGGUAUGGGUAACGGCCUACCAAGGCGACGAUAGGUAGCUGGGUGAGAGCACGACCAGCCACACGGGCACUGAGACACGGGCCCGACUCCUACGGGAGGCAGCAGUGAGGAAUAUUGGUCAAUGGACGAGAGUCUGAACCAGCCAUGCCGCGUGAAGGAUGAAGGCGUUUGCGUUGUAAACUUCUUUUAUCUGGGAAGAAACCCCUUUUUUCUAAGAGGCCGACGGUACCAGAGGAAUAAGCACCGGCUAACUCCGUGCCAGCAGCCGCGGUAAUACGGAGGGUGCAAGCGUUAUCCGGAUUUACUGGGUUUAAAGGGUGUGUAGGCGGGUUUUUAAGUCAGAGGUGAAAUCCCAAGGCUCAACCUUGGAACUGCCCCUGAUACUAUUAGCCUUGAAUAUUGAUGAGGUGGGCGGAACGGGUCAUGUAGCGGUGAAAUGCUUAGAGAUGACCCGGAACACCAAUUGCGAAGGCAGCUCACUGGGCAAUUAUUGACGCUGAGGCACGAAAGCGUGGGGAUCAAACAGGAUUAGAUACCCUAGUAGUCC
Molecule: ribosomal RNA, 786 nt
Filed under: uncultured bacterium
Lineage: Bacteria
Description: bacterial SSU rRNA
Rfam family: Bacterial small subunit ribosomal RNA
Source: RNAcentral